Molecule: ribosomal RNA, 643 nt
Filed under: uncultured fungus
Lineage: Eukaryota; Fungi
Description: eukaryotic LSU rRNA
Rfam family: Eukaryotic large subunit ribosomal RNA
Source: RNAcentral
CCCGCUGAACUUAAGCAUAUCAAUAAGCGGAGGAAAAGAAACUAACAAGGAUUCCCCUAGUAACGGCGAGUGAAGCGGGAUGAGCUCAAAUUUAAAAUCUGGUAGCCUUUGGUUGCCCGAGUUGGAAUCUAGAGAAGCGUCUUCCGCGCUGGACUGUGUACCAGUUUCCUGGAUACGGAACGUCAUAGAGGGUGAGAAUCCCGUCCUUGACACAGACUCCCAGUGCUUUGUGAUGCGCUCUCUACGAGACGAGUUGUUUGGGAUUGCAGCUCAAAAUGGGAGGUAAAUUCCUUCUAAAGCUAAAUAUAGGCGAGAGACCGAUAGCGAACAAGUACCGUGAGGGAAAGAUGAAAAGCACUUUGUGAAAGAGAGUUAAACAGUACGUGAAAUUGUUAAAAGGGAAACGAUUGAAGUCAGUCGCGUCUACUUGGACUCAGCCUUACCUCGGUUUGGUGCAUUUCCUUGUGGCACAGGGCCAGUGUCACAUGUUGCAUUGCUGGAAAAGGUUCAGGGGAAUGUGGCUCUUUUAGAGUGUUAUAUGCACUCUGUUCAUCAUACAGUAGUUGAUAUGGAGUGAUACAGCAUGCUUCGGCGCGUGCUUGUACUGGCAUAAUGGCUUUAAACGACCCGUCUUGAAACACGG